This is a long non-coding RNA of Thalassophryne amazonica, 183 nucleotides long. RefSeq lists it as uncharacterized. The record is from RefSeq and is a predicted model, not a curated record. The transcript is spliced from 4 exons. NCBI's taxonomy places the organism in Eukaryota, Metazoa, Chordata, Actinopteri, Batrachoidiformes, Batrachoididae.
AAAAAUCUUUUCUAAUUGUAAGAAUUCCUGGUUCUAUAAAGUUACAUUUUCUCCUUAGAUUAUAACCCUCUUCAUGAUUUUUGAGCAAUUGUUGAAUAUUCCCUGGUAAUAGAUUAUUUGUUGCUUUGAACAUUAUUUGUGCUCUUUGGUAUUUUGCACAAUGUCAGUAAGCUUGAGUAUCUG